RNAcentral lists this small RNA (127 nucleotides) under Marmota monax (woodchuck). Lineage: Eukaryota; Metazoa; Chordata; Mammalia; Rodentia; Sciuridae. The record is from RNAcentral.
GCCAGGCAUGGUGGCACAUGCCUGUAACCCCAGCAGCUCAGGAGGCUGAGGCAGGAGGAUUGCAAGUCUAAGGUCAGCCUCAGCAACUUAGUGAAGUCCUAAGCAUCUUAGCGAGACUCUGUCUCAA